AACGAACGCUGGCGGCAUGCCUAACACAUGCAAGUCGAACGGUGUUCCCGCUUCGGCGGGGGCAUAGUGGCGCACGGGUGAGUAACGCGUGGGAACCUGCCCCGUGGUACGGAACAACUCCGGGAAACUGGAGCUAAUACCGUAUGUGUCCCCUGGGACAAAGAUUGCAUCGCCAUGGGAGGGGCCCGCGUAGGAUUAGGUAGUUGGCGGGGUAACGGCCCACCAAGCCCGCGAUCCUUAGCUGGUCUGAGAGGAUGAUCAGCCACACUGGGACUGAGACACGGCCCAGACUCCUACGGGAGGCAGCAGUGGGGAAUAUUGGACAAUGGGCGCAAGCCUGAUCCGGCAAUGCCGCGUGAGUGAUGAAGGCCUUCGGGUUGUAAAGCUCUUUCGCACGCGACGAUGAUGACGGUAGCGUGAGAAGAAGCCCCGGCUAACUUCGUGCCAGCCGCCGCGGUAA
Molecule: ribosomal RNA, 460 nt
Filed under: uncultured bacterium
Lineage: Bacteria
Description: partial 16S ribosomal RNA
Rfam family: Bacterial small subunit ribosomal RNA
Source: RNAcentral